ACUGUUAUCCCCCUCACAGACCAACACACACCCGACCAAAGCCUCUCCAUUCUCCUCUCACAGCCCCCAAAACCCCCAAAACCAUUUUUCCUUCUCACAGCCGACCCCAACAGCUCCAUCGCCGGCCUUGACCGACUAUCCCCUACAGACCCGAACCAGAACCUCCACAUCCACCGACAGUACCCCCCCCCUUUGGUUUUUUUUUAUCUUCUCCUUAGCUCUGAUCUGCUCAAGCCGCCGCUCCCUCCCUUGAAAACAAAACUCUGUCCCAAAACAGCCGCUUCCCCCACUUGACCCAUCAACACCGAAGCCCCCUUUCCUUGGCAGCAUCUUCUUCUUCGGUCUUCUCAACAGCGAAGGGCCAAGUCAACAGCGCCUUCUUCUCCCUUGGCCGACUACCAACAGCAACGGAGAAGCAGCACCCACAGGAGCCCCCAGCAGCGCCCACGGACGACACCGCCGGUGCAGAAUGAAGUAGGAGUAAGGCCGCCGAUCCUCCACACGUCUGGUCUGUCGGCGGCGUGUGUAGAAUCUGUUCUCCUCUCGCCCACAGGCACAGAGUAUCCGCAGAUCUGCCCUCCAAGCGGCAGCCCCCCCCAUACGGCGUCGCCUGCCGAUCCGGCGCCAUUUCCCACAGAAGACCACCACCGGCAGAGAAGGGAAGGGAGAAGAAGCCGGCAGCCACCUGAAACAGAGGAGAUUAGGAAAGAAAAAGAAACGAACAGAUCUGCCCAAACGGAGAAAAAGAGAGACAGAUCCGAAAACAAGGAGGAAGAAAUUAAAACCUACUGCCUUGUGUGUUUUUUCUCCUUUUGCAGGUGACAGUGAUUCUCACUGCCGGUGAGGGGAAGAAGAGGGGAAGCCGCGACUGACCCCCUGUUGUUUUGGAGUUCCAGCGGUGGCGCGUGAACCCACGCGCCACCAGUGACGAUGCGCGCGGGGAGCAACGCGCCACCAUUGUUCCAGCACUGUUCCCGCGCCCAAAAAACUUCCCUGACACUGUUCCAACUGUAGAGGGCUAUCCCUGUAAUUUCAAAUUGUUUUAGGGCUAAUUUUUGUAAUUGUAAAAAUUGUUUAAUGUAUUUUUUGUUUAGUUAACUUUUUUAUAAUUUGUAAUGUUGAUGUAACAAAAAAAGAAAGAAAAAGAAAAAGAAAAGAAAAGAAAAAGAAAAAAUAUAGUGAAAGUGUAUAUGUGUUUUGUAUUUUUUUUUUAUGUAUGUUAUUGAAUCAAAAAAUGAAUUUAAUAUUUUUAAUUUAUAUGCACAAAUAUCUAAAGGACAGAUAAAAAUCAUGUUGUACUUCCCAUAAAAAUGUAGAACAUGUGUCUACAUACGUUUUGGGAACUAAUAACUGAUUUAUCAAAGCCUUAGAAUUGGGCUAAAAUUUUAUUUUUAAAACGCAUCAAGUCCACAAAGCAGCUUACCUCAGGUAGGGUGCGUUAGGGGUGCUAAUACCUUCCCUAACCACAACCAGUCCCUUACCCAUGAAUCUCUGACAANNNNNNNNNNNNNNNNNNNNNNNNNNNNNNNNNNNNNNNNNNNNNNNNNNNNNNNNNNNNNNNNNNNNNNNNNNNNNNNNNNNNNNNNNNNNNNNNNNNNGAACCAAUCAAAAUCAACAAACAAAAAAAAAAUCGCCAGCCGAUGCCGUGCGGAUUUUUGACGUGCGACAGAAUGGCGACUCCGCUGGGGAAGGUAUUGUUUUCAACAUUAUUGGACUAAGCUUUGUGUAUUUGAUGUGUUUAUGUUUUUGCAUUUUUGUCUUGUUUUAUUUUUGUUUUAUUGAUGCAUUGUAUAGAAUUGUUUCAUGCAUCACGUAUUUUGAUUUUUUAAAGCACACACAAGCUUCAGGUUAGGAGGGGGACUAGCAGCUUACCUUAUGACUUUUAGUCAAGGUUUAAGUUUGUGUAAACCCCAACUCUUCGUUGAGUGCUUAGACUGGUAAUAGUUGGACAUGUGCCAUCUAAUUGCCUACAAGCCCCCAUAUUGCCUCCACGAGGGCAAUCACUGGGACAACAAGAGACCAUUUUUAGAGACCAAGUAGUAAACCUACCUUUUGUCUCACUUAAAAAGAUUAAAACCUGCCUUUAGGAUGUGUGCUCCGUAUACUUUGUUUUGCAUCAGGGCAAACCCUUCUUGAAGCAUCUUGAACUCAAGACUUUUGGGUGACCCAAUGGCCGUCACUCAGAAAAUUUUCAUUGUAGAGUUUGGGCAAGAAUCAAGAUUCUUGUUUCAUCAUACAAGAGUUACGACCAUAUGUCACCCCUCGAAGGGUGAGUUCUUCAUAUAGAUUACAUGUUCAUACAUUUAUCAUGCAUGUACCAUGGGGAAAAAUAGGUUCCCCUGUCUGAGGUUUACUACACCUGAUUGAACAAAGAUGAUGGGAAAUGAAGAAAGGGUUCAAAAAGAAGCUCAUUAUCAAGGAAAGUUGAGAGCAUCAAAGGGGAAGUAGCUAGGCUCAGAUCUGCCUGAACAAGUGUAGAGCAUCAAAUGGAAAGGGAAUGUCUACACAGUCUUCUGUGGGAACACUGCUUGUCCAUGUCCCAUUGAAGUUACACCUCCUCUUUUCAGUCUUGAAUAAUUGCAGCAAUGCCUUCAGUCAUCAGCUAAUGACAACCUUUGUUCUUGUUCAGUUGCACUGAUAAUUAUUCAUCGCCUCCGUAUCUGCUAAUGGAACCAAAUAACUACUAGCCUUCUGUGCAUGGUGUAUUAGCCUUCUUUGACGUUACCCCAACUGUUAGCUCAAUUCGAGUUCAGCGGCACAAGAUGUAAAAAAAAAACAACAACAAAAAAAAAACAAAAAAAAAAAAAAAAAAAAAACUGAAAAAAAAAACCAUGAUUCGACCCUGAACUUCUACGUUGCAGAGCUCUCUCUGUAGAUAUUUCUUUGUGGAUCUGCCAAUGGGGAACGCAAGAGGGGGUGUAGUAGUUUCAUAUGCUUUAAAACUUUCUCUCACCAGUGGCACCAGCAAAACAUUGUGGUAGGCAGAAGGGUGAGACCUGGUUUGAAAAUGUUAGCAGUCAUCAAACUUCAAUGUGGCAGAGCUCUCUCUACAAAAAUCCGUUUGUGGCUCUGCAAGUGGGGAAUGCAAGAGGGAAUGUAGUAUUUUCAUAUGCUACAAACAUUUGCCCCAUCAAUUUCAGAACCGAAACACUGGAGUAGGCAGAAGGGUCACACCUGGUCUGAAAACAUGAGCCGUCAUUAAACUUCAACGCGGCAGAGCUCUCUCUACAAAAAUCUGUUUGUGGCUCUGCAAGUGGGGAAUGCAAGAGGGAAUGUAGUAUUUUCAUAUGCUACAAAAAUUUGCCCCAUCAAUUUCAGAACUGAAACACUGGAGUAGGCCGAAGAGUCAGACCUAGUCUGAAAACAUGAGCAGUCGUCGAACUUUGACGUGGCAGAGCUCUCUCUACAAAAACCCGUUUAUGGCUCUGCAAGUGGGGAAUACAAGAGGGGAUGUAGUAGUUUCAGACAAUGUGAAAAUUUAUGCCACCAGUUUCCGCACUGAAACACUGUAGUAGGCAGAAAAGCCAAACCUGAGCUAGAAAACAAGAGCAAAUAUAGAACUUCACCGUGGCAGAGCUCUCUCUGCAGAAACCUGUUUGUAGAUCUGCAAGUGGAGAAUCCAAGAAGGGAUGCAGUAGUUUCUGAUCAUCUAUAAUUUUCUCUCAUCAGUGUUAGCUUGAAAAUGCAAAAGAAGGGAAAAGAGACAAACCUCGGCUGAAAAAUAGAAAGAAGAUUGAAACUUCAACAGAGCAGAGCUCCCUCUAUAGGUGUCUGUUUGAUGCGCCAUCAGUGAGGAAUCGAAGAGGAGACAAAGGAGUUUCAGAUUCAUCAGUUUCUCCUCCAACAAAAACAAUGCCUCAUUUCACACAUUGACAGUGAUAGCGCUGCAUGAUUCUAUGCGCUGACAAGAUUACCUAGCUGUUGGAAGGUUUCCAACAAUCCACAAAUGACCACAACAACAUUGGAAGAAUGACAUGAUGUUGUGAAGAUCAUCGAAAGAAUUAAGCUAGCUAUGAAGAUGAGAAGGAUUGAAGGUUCUGUCAAGAAUUCCAGAACAAUGAUGAGAGAUGAAUCAGGAGAUGACUCUGAAGAUGAGAAACCAUAGUUACUUGGUUUAGUCAAGUCUCACUGUAGCACCAGCUGCUCAAAUGUCUUUGCCAAGACUGACAUUUAUCUGCCACCCAAGUUGGACUACUAGCAUCUGUCAGAUUCCAGACUUUUUGCCUGACUCUGUUAAAUCCCAUGCAACCACCGUUUUCUAGGUGGUAUAAUCCAGACAAGAGAUGUGAUGUCAUGGUGGGGUCCUCAGCCAUUUCAAUUGAAUAAUUGCAAGAAUCGAGUCCGCAAAUUGGUGAGCAAAAGACGAGAGGAAUCUGUGAAGAAGCUUGUCAUUGAUCAUUUUGUUGCCAGAACAUCCUCAGAAUGACGAGUGAUCGAAAUUGCUCGGUAAACACAGAUAUUGCCAGAAUAGUUGAUCCAAGAAGGGCGUUGAACUGUCAAUCAUGUUGUUAUGGAAUUUUUUGCCAUUCUGCAUUUUGUUUUGGGGUCACAUCUCAUCCUUGAACGAAACAUGUCUUUCCUUUGUCUUCCUGUUGUUUUGAAAUCAAGAGAUGCUUCUUUCAAAGGGUAUUUUGACAAAAUAUUUUGAUCAAGCUCCAACAUGUGAUUAAGAUUAAUCAAUCCUGAAGAUUAAAAGUAUUUUGAUUGCAAAAAUGACUCGAUGCUUAAAAAUGACAUGAGGUGACCAAACAAUUUUGAACUCAUACCUCCUGAAACUGAACCACACAUCAUAUAGCUAGUUUUAGCAGUAUGCAUAAUGACAUGUAGUGGAUUCAGUUGUUAUGGACUCGUGAAUCAUGAUUCUUACAAGUCCAAAUCAUUACACUGGACGAGGUCAAAAUUUAUCGGUUCUAACCGACCUUGCUUGAAACGAGAAAAGGCCAUCUUUGUUAUCCUUUCACAUUUCUUGAAAUAUUAUCCCUUGCAGUCCCAUUUUGAGCCUGGUAAAAUAUUUUCUUUCAAAAAGAAAACCUGACUAGGAUCACACCCCACGCUGGGGGCAAUGAGAGAUAUGUUAUUAGGAAGGAUGAAGACACUGAUAGAAUCAAUCAUAAAAGAAAGGCUUAGAGUAAAAGCCCAAUGAUUGAGAAAGGGAGAACAAGAAAAGCCAUAGAUUGAGGGCCAUCCAAGAAAACUUUGAGGAAGGUUAUGUAAAAGCAAAAAAAAAAAGUGGAAAUGAAGGAGAAUGCCUAUCAAUUCUAAGAGGGGCAAAAGAGGUUUCAAUGGAAGAAAGACACAACAAAUGUCAAAAGUCAACACCAAAAAAAUCAAGUUUCAUGUCUUUUGGUGUGUCUAGGAUAAAACCUUUAGUGUCUUCAAAAUUUUUUAGAUUCAUUAUUCAUCAGAGAAAGUUGGAUUUGCAUUAUGACCUAUGUUAAGAGAAUUCUGAUAUUUGAGAUUAACAAGGUUAUAUAUCACUUUCUCUACUAUGACAACAAGAGAAAGAGAGUUGAUGAAUAGUUGAUGUUGAUCCUAAGUCUUUGAAAUCCUAACACUUUUUGAGCUUGUGAAAUUCCUUUCUUUCAUAGCCAUGAACCAUAGCCUGCAUUAUGUGCUUUUAAAAGCCCUUUUUAAUCAAGUAAGCAAUCUGAACCGAUAAAUGGCGAUCUCAAAAAUUGAAGAGUUGUUCCAUAAGGGUCGUGACUUCAUGGAUUAAGCUACUGGUUAUUAUGCAUGCUGAUAAAAUGGGUGCUAAAAAAGAAAACAAUCUUUCUUGAUGAAUCCUCAAGUUUUGACUUGAGCCUUUUGUUUCUUGAAAUUCACAGAAGGUCACCUCAUUGCAGACCGUGAAAAGAUAUACCCAAGAUCAAAGAUUAAAACUGACAUAAAGAACCACGGAAAAAGUCAUUUUAAACUUACAAUGGGUCAUUUCUGUUUUCAAAAUACAAGACAAUCAAAGGACUAUAUUGAAUAGUGUGUGUUGGAUCUUUGACCGAAGAAACUUGAUUUUCAAAAACUGACAUCUCUCUGAUUUCAUUUCAACAAUUAGACUUGAAUUGACAUGAUCUUUGAAAUAUGAGAGUUGAUUCCAUAACAACAAAGAUUGUUAAACAACAAGAACAUCGACCAAAUUUGCAAAAUCCUUGACAAGAAUGACAUCAACACUUCUUGACACUCCUUGAAAAGUUAACCACUUGGGGGCAAUACAGUGGACCCUGAGAAGGAAAACAAUCAGUAUUCAGAUCAGCUGGGGACAAAGAAAAAUCAGAUGAUGAGUCGUCAAAGUCCAUCAAAGUUUUUAGCAUCUGACAAUGACAAAGAAAAAAAAACUUGUUGAGUAUAAACAGAUGAACGAGCAUUCAGAUCAACUGAGGGCAAUGAAAGAUGAUCAAAUGAUGAAUCAAUGCACUGAGGACAAUGGUGUUUAAAGAAAGUUAAUCAGCAGAACAAGCAUUCAGAUCAUUACUGGGGGCAAUGUUGUUCAAAGACAGUCAGUGAUUUAGUGAACUUCAGCAGCAAUUGAUGAGCAACGCUGCACUUGAAGGGCAUUUUAUUAUCUUCAUCUUGGGGUUACCCUUUGAAACAUGGCUAUGACAGAUGUUAUCUCAUAGUUGCAUUAGAAUGAAUGUCAGAAAGAUGCACACCACCAAGACUGACUGUGGGACCAUAUGUUUCGGAGCUCAAUGCGCACUUCACCGUAUGAAUAUGGGUGAUAACAUGAACAUCAUUAAUGAUGCCACUGCAUUUCUUUUCACUAUCUGAUUUGACAAGUUGAGAGAAGAAUCCAUGGAGAAGAACAUUGAGCUUACAACGAUGAGCCCUUUUACUGCAAGGUAUGAGAUCCAUGUCUGGAUGACUUGGCAGUUCCAUGAAGACUGAUGAUAACAUAUACUUGAAGAGUAUUGUUUCAGCUUGAGGCAAGUUUAUGACUGGUUGACAAUCAUGAUGGUAUUGACACGAUGCGCACAAUCAAUGAGAGAACAAUUCUCAGGAUAAUACAGAGGAUGAACGAUCGGUUAAGAUCUUCAUGAUGAAUCAAGCAACACCGCACUUGGGGGCAGAGUCAAGCUUGAUAAACAGCGAGAGCAGUAAUUGUUGUGGACAGCCCAGGAUGGGCACUGCACUUACAACUGAGUGGAUGGCUAGCACACGAAUGAGUCAGUACAUGGGAAGGACAAAUAAAGCUUUGGGAAUGCAAACAAAGGCACCCUAUGACGAUGGAUCAUCAAAGGGGGGGACCUAUAUUUCACAUCAGGUAAGGAUGCAUGCAUAUCAUCUAACGUUAAAACAUUGUACAUAUUUUUUAUUUUGUUGCAGGAAAAAUCCUCAAUGUAGUUUAGCAAGAUUGGGGACCAAAAAAAAAAAGAGAAUCAUUGAGCUGAUAAUAACAGAGAAUCAUGUUGUAACCUUGGAACGGGAAGAAGAUGAGAGAUAAACCUUACUGUUAGGAAAAUCUCAAAGAAAUGAAAAGAUCAACCUUGCAAUCAGGAAGCAUCGAGUUUUCAAACCCUGCGAUCAAGAAUUAUCAAGAAGCACCAAGUUUUCCGGCCCUUCUUCUAUCAUCCCUUCAGGACUUCACCAGGUAAGUCUCAUUUUUCACACUUGUCACAUAACAUCUUUCACAUGGGUAGGUCACCCAUAAUAAUGAGACCGCUUCAUAUUUUUCUCAUCUUCCAUCUGGGUAGGUCACCCAUUACAAUGAGACCACUUCAUAUUUUUUCUAUCCUCCACCUGGGUAGGUCACCCAUUACAAUGAGACCACUUCAUAUUUUUUUCUAUCCUCCACCUGGGUAGGUCACCCAUUACAAUGAGACCACUUCAUAUUUUUUAUAUCCUCCAUCUGGGUAGGUCACCCAUUACAAUGAGACCACUUCAUAUUUUUUCUAUCCUCCACCUGGGUAGGUCACCCAUAACAAUGAGACCAGUUCAUAUUUUUUCUAUCUUCCAUCUGGGUAGGUCACCCAUAACAAUGAGACCACUUCACAUUUUUUCGAUCUUCCACCUGGGUAGGUCACCCAUAACAAUGAGACCACUUCACAUUUUUUCUAUCCUACACCUGGGUAGGUCACCCAUAACAAUGAGACCACUUCAUAUUUGUUCUAUCUUCCAUCUGGGUAGGUCACCCAUUAUAACGCGACCACUUCAUAUUUGUUCUAUCUUCCAUCUGGGUAGGUCACCCAUUAUAACGCGACCACUUCACAUUUAUUCUAUCUUCCACCUGGGUAGGUCACCCAUUAUAACGCGACCACUUCACAUUUUUUCUAUCUUCCACCUGGGUAGGUCACCCAUUAUAAUGAGACCGCACUUCACAUUCUUUCCGUUUGGGUAGGUCACCCAUCAUAAUGAGACCGUUUUCCAUCAUUUUUUCUUGGGUUCGUCACCCAUACAAUGAGACCAUCAUUUUUUUCUUGGGUUAGUCACCCAUACAAUGAGACCAUCAUUUUUCUGGGGUUCGUCACCCAUACAAUGAGACCAUCAUUUUUCUGGGGUUCGUCACCCAUACAAUGAGACCACCAUUUUUCUGGGGUUCGUCACCCAUACAAUGAGACCAUCAUUUUUCUUGGGUUCGUCACCCAUACAAUGAGACCAUCAUUUUUCUUGGGUUCGUCACCCAUACAAUGAGACCAUUUGUUCCACAUUCUUUGUUUUGGUUUAAUGAGGUCGCCAGAUGGGAUCUCAUGUAGCUUUGGUUAAAGGGAAUCGCCAGAUGGGAUUUCAGGUUAACCGAGUUACGUAACAUCUUUUAGUUUUGGUUUAAUGAGGUCGCCAGAUGGGAUCUCAUGUAGCUUUGGUUAAAGGGAAUCGCUAGAUGGGAUUUCAGGUUGACCGAGCUACCACACAUUUUUUAGUUCCAGUUGAAUGAGGUUGCCAGAUGGAAUCUCAUGUAGCUUUGGUUAAAGGGAAUCGCCAGAUGGGGUUUCAGGUUGACCGAGCUACCACACAUUUUUUAGUUCCAGUUGAAUGAGGUUGCCAGAUGGAAUCUCAUGUAGCUUUGGUUAAAGGGAAUCGCCAGAUGGGAUUUCAGGUUGACCGAGCUACCACACAUUUUUUUAAGUUCAAGUUGAAUGAGGUCGCCAGAUGGGAUCUCAUGUAGCUUUGGUUAAAGGGAAUCGCCAGAUGGGAUUUCAGGUUGACCGAGCUACCACACAUUUUUAAGUUCAAGUUGAAUGAGGUCGCCAGAUGGGAUCUCAUGUAGCUUUGGUUAAAGGGAAUCGCCAGAUGGGAUUUCAGGUUGACCGAGCUACCACACAUUUUUUAGUUCUAGUUGAAUGAGGUUGCCAGAUGGAAUCUCAUGUAGCUUUGGUUAAAGGGAAUCGCCAGAUGGGAUUUCAGGUUGACCGAGCUACCACACAUUGUUUUUAAGUUCCGGUUUAAUGAGGUCGCCAGAUGGGAUCUCAUGUAGCUUUUGUUAAAGGGAAUCGCCAGAUGGGAUUUCAGGUUGACCGAGCUACACACAUUUUUUGGGUUUUGGUUCAAGGAGAUUGCCCGAUGGGAUCUCACACAAAAAAAAAAGAAGAGAGAAAGAAGGAAAUGAGAAAGAAAAAAAAAAGAAAGAAACAUUUAGAGUUUUUUCUUUACAAAGCUUACUAUGCAAAACAUUGAGGAGUUUUCCUUCGUAAGCAUUGUAAAGAGGGGGCAUCUGUUGCUACCCAAUUUUUGACCCAUGUUUUGAUAAAUUUUCAAAAAAAUCCAAAAAUAGCGAAAAACAUUGAAAAUCCAAAAAAAUACAUUUUUAAUACCUUUGCAUCGUUUUUAGCAUUUUUAGCAUCGUCUCAAAAGAAUUUAAAUUUUCAAAGACAUUUGGAACGCGUUCAACUUUUAACGCGUUAUUUUUAAAAUAAUUGAUUUUCUUCAUUGAGUCGACAUUGAUAUUGCUCGUUUUCAAAAAAAUACAAAAAAAUUAAGAAAAAUCAAAUUGACAAAAAAAGAAAGAAAGUUGAGGGACCAAUUUUGAGAUCCAUGCAACAUUUUACCUAUAAAUACUGGUCCACAACUCAAACAAAAGAGGGGGGGGGGCAAUUUUGACAAACAAAAAAAAGGGGAAGAGAAACCCUAAACCUAUCUCUUUCACACCCAGCCGCCGCCACCCACUAGAGAAUUUUAUCUUCUCUGCACACAGCCCCCCGGUGGCCUUCAUUUUGCUGACCCGGCUGGUUCCACCGUUUCCUUCCCCUCUCCACUGUUAUCCCCCUCACAGACCAACACACACCCGACCAAAGCCUCUCCAUUCUCCUCUCACAGCCCCCAAAACCCCCAAAACCAUUUUUCCUUCUCACAGCCGACCCCAACAGCUCCAUCGCCGGCCUUGACCGACUAUCCCCUACAGACCCGAACCAGAACCUCCACAUCCACCGACAGUACCCCCCCCUUUGGUUUUUUUUUAUCUUCUCCUUAGCUCUGAUCUGCUCAAGCCGCCGCUCCCUCCCUUGAAAACAAAACUCUGUCCCAAAACAGCCGCUUCCCCCACUUGACCCAUCAACACCGAAGCCCCCUUUCCUUGGCAGCAUCUUCUUCUUCGGUCUUCUCAACAGCGAAGGGCCAAGUCAACAGCGCCUUCUUCUCCCUUGGCCGACUACCAACAGCAACGGAGAAGCAGCACCCACAGGAGCCCCCAGCAGCGCCCACGGACGACACCGCCGGUGCAGAAUGAAGUAGGAGUAAGGCCGCCGAUCCUCCACACGUCUGGUCUGUCAGCGGCGUGUGUAGAAUCUGUUCUCCUCUCGCCCACAGGCACAGAGUAUCCGCAGAUCUGCCCUCCAAGCGGCAGCCCCCCCCAUACGGCGUCGCCUGCCGAUCCGGCGCCAUUUCCCACAGAAGACCACCACCGGCAGAGAAGGGAAGGGAGAAGAAGCCGGCAGCCACCUGAAACAGAGGAGAUUAGGAAAGAAAAAGAAACGAACAGAUCUGCCCAAACGGAGAAAAAGAGAGACAGAUCCGAAAACAAGGAGGAAGAAAUUAAAACCUACUGCCUUGUGUGUUUUUUCUCCUUUUGCAGGUGACAGUGAUUCUCACUGCCGGUGAGGGGAAGAAGAGGGGAAGCCGCGACUGACCCCCUGUUGUUUUGGAGUUCCAGCGGUGGCGCGUGAACCCACGCGCCACCAGUGACGAUGCGCGCGGGGAGCAACGCGCCACCAUUGUUCCAGCACUGUUCCCGCGCCCAAAAAACUUCCCUGACACUGUUCCAACUGUAGAGGGCUAUCCCUGUAAUUUCAGAUAGUUUUAGGGCUAAUUUUUGUAAUUGUAAAAAUUGUUUAAUGUAUUUUUUGUUUAG
RNAcentral lists this long non-coding RNA (11272 nucleotides) under Populus trichocarpa (black cottonwood). Its description in RNAcentral is "long non-coding RNA (PTRI_LNC003513)". Lineage: Eukaryota; Viridiplantae; Streptophyta; Magnoliopsida; Malpighiales; Salicaceae. The record is from RNAcentral.